RNAcentral lists this ribosomal RNA (217 nucleotides) under uncultured bacterium. RNAcentral's name for it is "partial 16S ribosomal RNA". It matches the Rfam family "Bacterial small subunit ribosomal RNA", at positions 122 to 334 of the family's 1533-position model. RNAcentral also lists the same sequence under 1 other name. The record is from RNAcentral.
UAACCUGCCUGGUAGCGGGGGAUAACUAUUGGAAACGAUAGCUAAUACCGCAUAAGAGUAGAUGUUGCAUGACAUUUGCUUAAAAGGUGCAAUUGCAUCACUACCAGAUGGACCUGCGUUGUAUUAGCUAGUUGGUGAGGUAACGGCUCACCAAGGCAACGAUACAUAGCCGACCUGAGAGGGUGAUCGGCCACACUGGGACUGAGACACGGCCCAG